Unclassified non-coding RNA from Chrysemys picta bellii (western painted turtle), 182 nucleotides. The record is from Ensembl. Lineage: Eukaryota; Metazoa; Chordata; Testudines; Emydidae.
GUGCUUAGCCUUGGAGACUGAAGGCCUCUGCUCUUCUCCAGCAAAGGAACACUAUGAAGAGCAGCAGUGCAAGCUUACCACGCUAUAACCCGCCACGAUGCCUCCACCUUGCCCUAGAAGGAUCACCUCUACGAGUGAAAGACCAAAUCAGACUCCAUGGCCUGUUCAAAGCUUGUUCAACU